This 1243-nucleotide ribosomal RNA is filed under the name metagenome. RNAcentral's name for it is "bacterial LSU rRNA". It matches the Rfam family "Bacterial large subunit ribosomal RNA", at positions 1564 to 2815 of the family's 2925-position model. The record is from RNAcentral.
UGAAUACGAGAUGCUACGGCGUCGAAGCAGUCUAUGUCAUACUUCCAAGAAAAGCUUGCACUGUCAUAAACAAAUAAUGCCUGUACCAUAACCGACACAGGUGGGUAGGUAGAGUAUACUAAGGGGCGCGAGAUAACUCUCUCUAAGGAACUCGGCAAAAUGACUCCGUAACUUCGGGAGAAGGAGUGCCUUAUUUUAUAAGGUUGCAAUAACAAGAUCCAAGCAACUGUUUACCAAAAACACAGGUCUCCGCUAAGUCGUAAGACGAUGUAUGGGGGCUGACGCCUGCCCAGUGCCAGAAGGUUAAAGAAGUUGGUUAGCAUCCGCGAAGCUGAUAACUGAAGCCCUGGUGAACGGCGGCCGUAACAAUAACGGUCCUAAGGUAGCGAAAUUCCUUGUCGGGUAAGUUCCGACCCGCACGAAAGGCGUAAUGAUUUGGAUACUGUCUCAGAGAGGGGCUCGGUGAAAUAGACUUGUCUGUGAAGAUGCGGACUACCUGCACCAGGACAGAAAGACCCUAUGAAGCUUUACUGUAACUUGAAAUUGAAAUUGGACUUUACUUGCGCAGUAUAGGUGGGAGGCGUUGAGAAUAUUCUUGCGGGAAUGUUGGAGCCAUCAGUGAGAUACCACUCUUGUAAUGUUAGAUUUCUAACUUUGUAUCAUUAUCUGGUCAAAGGACAGUUUCAGGCGGGCAGUUUGACUGGGGCGGUCGCCUCCCAAACGGUAACGGAGGCGCACAAAGGUUUCCUCUGAACGGGUAGAAAUCGUAUCUAGAGUGUAAAGGCAUAAGGAAGCUUGACUGUGAGACCUACAAGUCGAGCAGGGACGAAAGUCGGUCUUAGUGAUCUGACGGUGCUGAGUGGAAAGGCCGUCACUCAACGGAUAAAAGUUACUCUAAGGAUAACAGGCUGAUCUCCCCCAAGAGUUCACAUCGACGGGGAGGUUUGGCACCUCGAUGUCGGCUCAUCGCAUCCUGGGGCGGUAGUACGUCCCAAGGGUUGGGCUGUUCGCCCAUGAAAGCGGUACGCGAGCUGGGUUCAGAACGUCGUGAGACAGUUCGGUCCAUAUCCGGUGUAGGCGUUAGAAUAUUGAGAGGAGCCUUCUUUAGUACGAGAGGACCGAGAAGGACAUACCUCUGGUGUACCAGUUAUCGUGCCAACGGUAAACGCUGGGUAGCUAUGUAUGGAGUGGAUAACCGCUGAAAGCAUCUAAGUGGGAAGCCCACCUCAAGAUAAGUAUUCUC